GACGAACGCUGGCGGCGUGCCUAAUACACGCAAGUUGAGCGCUGAAGGUUGGUACUUGUACCAACUGGAUGAGCAGCGAACGGGUGAGUAACGCGUGGGGAAUCUGCCUUUGAGCGGGGGACAACAUUUGGAAACGAAUGCUAAUACCGCAUAAAAACUUUAAACACAAGUUUUAAGUUUGAAAGAUGCAAUUGCAUCACUCAAAGAUGAUCCCGCGUUGUAUUAGCUAGUUGGUGAGGUAAAGGCUCACCAAGGCGAUGAUACAUAGCCGACCUGAGAGGGUGAUCGGCCACAUUGGGACUGAGACACGGCCCAAACUCCUACGGGAGACAGCAGUAGGGAACCUUCGGCAAUGGACGAAAGUCUGACCGAGCAACGCCGCGUGAGUGAAGAAGGUUUUCGGAUCGUAAAACUCUGUUGGUAGAGAAGAACGUUGGUGAGAGUGGAAAGCUCAUCAAGUGACGGUAACUACCCAGAAAGGGACGGCUAACUACGUG
RNAcentral lists this ribosomal RNA (497 nucleotides) under uncultured bacterium. Its description in RNAcentral is "partial 16S ribosomal RNA". It matches the Rfam family "Bacterial small subunit ribosomal RNA", at positions 28 to 507 of the family's 1533-position model. The record is from RNAcentral.